Ceratotherium simum simum (southern white rhinoceros) is the source of this 84-nucleotide non-coding RNA. The record is from RefSeq and is a predicted model, not a curated record. NCBI's taxonomy places the organism in Eukaryota, Metazoa, Chordata, Mammalia, Perissodactyla, Rhinocerotidae.
UACUUCCUGAUAAACCUGCAGUUCAAAAUGCGUUUAAUACACUUAACCUACCGAACAUCAUAGCUUAGCCUAGCCUCCCUUAAA